AUCUUGCAAGUGAAUUAUAUUAUAAUUCCCUGUUAGCAUCGCACCGUAAAAAUUUAAAGAAUGAGACUAACGGAUCUUUUCAAAUCAUUUAGACCAUCUGUGAUUAUCGUCGCUUGUGUAACAUUUGUUUUCUAUUCAAACUGCACCCGAAGGCCGAAUCUUUGCGGAGCAGCGAUAGCUAAUCAAGAGGCUCUGAUAAUCUAUCAAGUUGUGCCUAAAUUAUUUAAGAAGUUUCCUCCGCAUGCAGUAGAGGUAGAGUAUGGAUACCGAAGAAAAGUUGAUUUUGGCUCAAUUUUUACCAUGGAGGAGAUAGAUAACCCUCCGAGUAGAAUUUCGUGGCCGGUUGAAAGGAAAUACGAGCGAGCAAAAUCAAGAUUUGCUCUUGGAAUGUUCGGUAACUGAUUUUUGCAUUUUUGUAUUCAGUAAAGUCAUUUGCCAGAAUUUCGGUAAUACAUCUUCAGGAAAUGUUUAAUAAAAACCACCAUCGCGGCCUAAAAACAUUUUAAAGGCCAAAGAGGUUUGAGGCUUUUCACUCGCGAUUAUACCAGGCUUUUAUCAGUGCACAUUCAAAAAUGAUUGAUUACAUCGAUACCUUCAUAAACAUUGAGCUGACAACUAUACAAAACUGAAUACCUAACGCGCCGUAUGCCUACGCAAAGCCUCAGCGAAUCAAGCAGAGGUAUAACAUAAAUUCCUCACUUCUUUCCAAAUAACCCAUGACCUUUUCUCCAUUACAAGUCCUACAAUGGGCCGAGCGCAGGCGAGGAAAACUUUUCUCCCGCUGAUUUCCAGUCCUAAACCUGUGUUAUCUCAAUUUUAUUUUUAAAAAAAUAAUUCACUUUUUGAACAUGCCCGCCGUCGAUUCGAACUUAUCUGCUUUGAUCAGUUCUGAGCCUCGAUAAAGUGUGAAAAGACAGUUUACAGUACAUGCACAUUGUACAAUUAUGUGUGCGACAUUUCCAUUUUGUACAAAUUUCUAGGAAAUGGAAACAUCAUUUGAGCCUCUUCGGACGCCACAAAUAUUAAUACCGAGUUAGCCCCAUCUUUUAUGCAAGCAGAGCCAACUUGGUGUUGGCCCUCCCAAACAUACUAAAACUUGGCAUCUCUUUCAUGUUACUCUCCGCAAAAAUGUCAUAGGAUAGUGCCGGACCUAUGCGAGUUAUUUUCGUGUAACAGCACACCCAUUUCUUUUGUUUUUUUUAAGCGUGCCUAUAGGGCUCGCUUUUUGAAAUCACUCGGAUGUACUGUAGUACAGCACACCGAUCGACCAAUGCUUUUCAAGGGGCGGUCCGAAUUUUUUUUCCGUCGGAUCCGUUCUUCCGUUUUUGAACCGUCAUAGUGUCAAGCCCUGAAGGUCAUUCAUCGAGAAACCGAAUUAUCCUGUUACUGGAAACCCUUGAGAACAUUUUCCCGUGGAAACCGUAUUAUUUUCUUUAUAGGUACGUCAAAUAAGCUUUUCUACGCUCGGAGGAUUUAAAUUAGAAGUUUAAAUGCCGCCAUAACUAUUCGCCUUACUCGUAGGUCUAGAGAGGCCGCCAUUACCCCACCUCAAAUUUUAAAAAUGAGACUAAAGAAAAAUUACCCAUCGCACAAAGAGAAAAGUUGCUCUGGAGGACUUUUUACUGACAAAGGAGCCAAAAUCAGAACUCGAUUGAUGGAUUUAAUUCAUGAAUACGCAAAUGUUGGACCAGCUCAACUGCCGCGAUUGGAAUGCAUCCUGGGAUGAACCUCGCGGCACAUGGAAGCAUAGCCCAUUUAUGGCUCACACAGAGAUUCGCUUACUUUGUCACGGGCGUCGAAGUCAACUGCGUAGCCAUCGUCACUGACGAUCAGAGUCUGUUAAAUGCUCCUUUUUCUGCGCGCCCGCUACCGGGCCGGGAUGGCGAAGCGGUUUAGAGCGCCUAAUCCUCGCGCUCACACCUAUCCGUUUUGUUGAGGGGGGGUUCAAAUCCCGUCGGGGAGGGCAAAUUUUUAUUGAUUGUAUUGAAAGUUUUAGACCAGUCAUCAACACAUAAUUGAAAAUGAUUAAUACUAGAUAAAAAAUGUACGAACAUUUUCUCGUGAGUCAAUAUGUUAAACAAAAAUACUGGAAUAUACCUCCUUCAUAUUAUCAGCCACAUGUUCACCCAAAUUAAUGAUGUUAUUUUCUUUUUUCGAUAAAGGUAAUUUGCAUUCAACGUUCGUGAAUUGUUAUGGUUUUCUAAGUUUAUUAAAAAGUACACUGGAAAAAAAAACACGAUGGAUUUAGAGUCCAGACUCUUAAAAACAUCGACAAGAAACUGGACUCUUGAUUCAAUCAGACUUUAGCUCAAGUCAAAAGGAUAUCCACUCAAAUUAAGAGGCUUGGUUUUUUAUUUAAGCUUAAAUCUGAUUGAAUGAAGAGUAUUUUUUUUGUCAAUGUUUUCAAGAGUCUGGACUCUACAUACAAUGUGUAUUUUUUUCCAGUGUACCUAUUGAUACAAAUAGAAAGACAUGAAAAUAGUAUGUCUAACAUUUCAGUUGUUUUUUUGUUUUUAAUUGUUCAAUAAAACAAAUUGACUUGGACUAGAAUCAUUGUAUCUCUGAAGAAAAAAGUUAAGUUUUUUGAAACAAAAUACUAAAAUAUUCAUCCUUCAUACAAUCAGGGAGAUGUCAACCCAAAUAAUGAUGUAACUUUCUGUGUUCACCCAAAUUAAUGAUGUUAUUUUCUUUAUGCAAUCAAAUUAUUUUACAUUCAACGUUCUUAAAGCGAUAUUUUCUCCAAAAUUUAGCAAAAAAUAACAAUUCUUACGCCCCCCCCCCCCCGCUAAAAAAAUAUAGCAACGACAUGAAAGUAGUAUAGCACACAUCCAACAUUUCACUUAUUCUUCACCCUUUUCCAACAUCUUCAUGUUGGAUCUAUCAUCUUGUUUUUCCUCAUUUAAAAGAAAAUAACACGUCGUAGUUAUCUUUUGUAAUUUUCCUCCCUUUGUUGCUUUUGGUUUUUAUUAUUUGGAAGUUCAACUAUGAUCAGCAUGUGUAAAAUACCUACUUAAGAUGAAAUUUGUUGGUUAGACUUUACAUCACAACAUACACCCUUCAAUUUUGCAGAUCCCACAUGGACAUCCAACCAGCACAAAUAGUUGUAUGAACCCGGCGUUAUGAAGGGGCGUUGUUUAGCUACUUUAAAUAAAAAGUGUCUAAGUUUUGUGGCCGCGUUUGGACAGUGGGUUAGAAUGAGAAAAACCAAAGAAUAAAAACAGCGCAUUACUUUACAUCCUUUGGCUCAUAAAAGAGAUAAAGAAGAAAAAGUUGGAAGCAAAUGACACAGGGCAUCGCCGUAUUGACUCGAAGAAAAGUAGUUCAAAUGAAAAAGUUUACACAUAUAGCUAGAACUUAUUUCAGCUAAAUACUAAUCGACACAAAUACACAUCCGAAAAAAUUAAAUACGAAAAAUGAAAAAGGAAAGAAAGAAAGACAAGAAAAUUCAAAUACUUUAUGAUAAGGCCCAGAUUUCUUUCAAAAUGAAAAAAAAUAAUGGCUUCCUGAAAAUAGCGUCAGAGGGAAAACAGUUCAACAAACUUUGAAUGACAAUGUACAUGCAAAGUCGAUACAGCAAUACUAGUAAUUAAAAAUUAAGACAAAUAAUUAAAAAUACUGCCAGUACAGCCGUUUGUCUUCCCUCAGAGGUUCCUCGCGUUUUUGCUUUGACAAUAAAGUGGUAUCAUCUGAUCAUCACAUUGGAACAGUAAAUCAAUGUCGCUUGGAAAAAUAGAAAAAAAUAAAUAACAGAAGAAAAUAAAUGACAGAAGAAAAUAAAAAAACUCGCCGUCAUGCCGCAGGAAAGGAACAACUUCUGCAAUUUUAUCAGCCAUAGGUAAAUGUUUGACUUUUGCUAAAUCAAAAGCAGAUCCCAAUAGGUAUCCAUCAUAAAAAUGGUAUACCCAAUGCUAAGUGAUUUAUCAAACAUUUUUCAAGUUCCCAUGCCGAGUAUUGCUAUCGCACUGCGAUCGCAAAAACCAGCUUGUUUUCUUUGUUCAUCCAAUAUAAUUAUGUUACUUUCUUUAUUCAAUAAAAUGUAUUUUCAUUCAACGGUAUCAAAUCAAUAAUUCCUCCCCAAUUUGCAGAGAGUACUAAUUUAUACACAUCUCGUUGAAAUGGAAAUAGUGCACACACCAGAUUUCAGUUCUUCGGCACGCUUUUCCACAUAUUCAUGUUGGAUGUUUCUUCUUGUUUCUUAUUUGUGGACAAACCCUAGCUUAAAAUUAGCUACAUAUAUUUCCGGCCAUUUAGAAAAUGGAAGCAGUGUAAAAACCAAGCGCUUAUUAUUGACCAAUCAUUUAGUCUUAUUAUUGCUUUCAGGACUGAUC
This 4328-nucleotide long non-coding RNA is filed under the name Bemisia tabaci. RNAcentral describes it as "lncRNA ENSSSA1NGG003633". Lineage: Eukaryota; Metazoa; Arthropoda; Insecta; Hemiptera; Aleyrodidae. The record is from RNAcentral.